CUCAUCUUUGAAGCAGACCAGUUGAAGCUGAACACUGUCAAAGUCAUAGGCUGAAUCAAUAUUUUAUCAGCUCAGUAGAUGUUCUUAUGUAUUCUUUGCAUUUUCCAAAUGUACUGGAGCCGACACAACAAAGGAGUGAUACACUCUUUAAAGGGAAGAUAAGGAAGUAGGCCCUUUUUAGAAAAGGUACCCAUUGAAAUUACCUUCACCAUAAUUAAGAGAAUGAUUAGGCAAAAG
This 237-nucleotide long non-coding RNA is filed under the name Cyanistes caeruleus (blue tit). RNAcentral describes it as "lncRNA (ENSCCEG00000003399.1)". The record is from RNAcentral. Lineage: Eukaryota; Metazoa; Chordata; Aves; Passeriformes; Paridae.